RNA transcript from Rhinopithecus roxellana (golden snub-nosed monkey), 2233 nucleotides. It is a transcript of the gene named zinc finger and SCAN domain-containing protein 5A pseudogene, with no coding region annotated. Lineage: Eukaryota; Metazoa; Chordata; Mammalia; Primates; Cercopithecidae. The transcript has a single exon. The record is from RefSeq and is a predicted model, not a curated record.
GCUCACUUGUUCAGAUCCAAACCACCCUCCACGCUAACAUUCAGAAACAGGAAACAGAACUAAACAAACAACUCUCCACUUUAACCUCCUCCCGCCCUUUCUCCUGGUUAUCUCUGCUGAGGGAGGGGUUACUUCUCGCGAACGCCACCGGUCUGGGAAACCUCUCUGCAUGUUUCUUUUGUGCUACCCUAGGACAGCCACCCCUGACGGCCGUCCCGCUCCCAGCCCCCUUCAAUAAUUCCCUAACAACUUCCAGCCAAGGAUCCUCCCCCAUCUCAGAUGUUCCUUUGUUUUUAAACCCCGAACAAACACAGGUUUUAUUUUGCUAUUCAAACGCUAGCACCUCCCUUUGCAACAUAACCUCUCCUCCCAACUCCACUCUGUACGCCCCUCAUGGCUCAUUCUUCUCGUGUAAUGGAACUCUAUAUAAGAAUCUCGAGUUGGAGAGCGUAUCGCAGAGUGAGGAGGAAGCCGGGAAGGCGAUAUGGCUGCAAAUUGCACAUCCUCAUGGCGUCAGAGAGAACCCUGCAACAGACCUGGGUUGGAGCUGCCACGGUCUAUGGCAUCCUCAGAAACUGAACUUGGAAAUCACGACAUGGACCCUGAGAUUUCUCACAUGAACUUCAGGAUGUUCACCUGCCCGAAGGAGUCGGACCCCAUCCAGGCUCUGAGGAAACUCACUGAGCUGUGCCAUCUGUGGCUGAGGCCCGACCUCCACACCAAAGAGCAGAUCCUGGACAUGCUGGUGAUGGAGCAGUUCAUGAUCUCCAUGCCCCAGGAGCUCCAGGUCUUAGUCAUGAUGAACGGCGUGCAGAGCUGCAAAGACCUGGAGGACCUGCUGCGAAAUAACAGAAGACCCAAGAAAUGGUCUGUAGUCACCUUCCACGGAAAGGAAUAUAUUGUACAGGACUCAGAUGUUGAGACGGCUGACGCCCCAGCCAGCGUCAGGGAUGAUCCGAGAGACGUGUCCAGCCAGCGGGCCUCCUCUGUGAACCAGAUGCGUCCGGGGGAAGGCCAGGCCCGCCGAGAGCUGCAGACCCUGCCCAGGGUCCCUGCACUGUUCAGGAGGCAGGGAGAGGACUAUCUGCUACACAAGAGUAUUGACAUAAAAGGUGACCCAAAGUCUCCAGGACCCAAGCCGACCUUGGAGAAGGAUCUGAAGGAAAACAGGGAAGAGAACCCAGGACUUACAUCCCCAGAGCCUCAGCUUCCAAAGUGUCCCACAGAUCUGGUGAGAGCAAAGGAGGGGAAGGAACCCCCAAAAAGAGCCUCUGUGGAAAAUGUGGAUGCCGACACACCUUCUGCCUGCGUUGUGGAGAGAGAAGCUUCGACUCACAGCGGGAACAGAGGAGACGCUCCGAAUCUCAGAGGCCCCAAAAGAAGCAAACGGGACGCCUCCUCCAUUUCCCAAGAAGAACCUCAAGGAGAAGCCACACCUGUGGGCAACAGAGAAUCCCCAGGACAAGUUGGGAUGAAUUCAAUUCAUUCCCCAGGCCCUGCCAGCCCAGUCAGUCACCCUGAUGGCCAAGAAGCCAAGGCACUGCCGCCCUUUGCAUGUGACGUGUGCAAUAAGAGGUUUACGUGUAAUUCCAAGCUAGUCAUCCACAAGAGAUCACACACAGGAGAGAGACUGUUUCAAUGUAAUCUCUGUGGGAAGCGUUUCAUGCAGCUCAUUAGCCUCCAAUUUCACCAGCGAACCCACACCGGCGAGAGGCCCUACACGUGUGACGUCUGCCAGAAGCAGUUCACCCAGAAGUCCUACCUGAAGUGUCACAAGAGAAGCCACACAGGGGAGAAGCCCUUCGAAUGUAAAGACUGCAAGAAAGUUUUCACCUACAGGGGGAGCCUGAAGGAGCACCAGCGCACCCACUCGGGAGAGAAACCCUAUAAAUGUUCCAAGUGUCCAAGAGCCUUUGGUCGGCUGAAGUUGUUAAGACGCCACCAGAAAACACAUCCAGAAGCCACUUCUCAGUGAUGGCAUAAUCCGGUCUAUGCCUUCUGCACGAAGAAGAAGUGAGUGAUGAUUUUUCACUGAUGUUACCAGAUGACAUUUGACACGUGCAAGGGCGCCUGGCACACAGAGGGAGUGCCCUAGAUAUGAAUUGCCAUGAUGUUUGAGCAAAUAUGUAUCCUCCCCACUGAGCUUUGUUUUCUGUUUCAUUAUGUCCAUUGUUUCCUUAUAGGUUUAUUUUGGUUUGUGUUGCUGUUCUUUCAAUAAACGGUCAUCUUAUUA